Long non-coding RNA from Mytilus trossulus (common blue mussel), 385 nucleotides. RefSeq lists it as uncharacterized. The transcript is spliced from 3 exons. NCBI's taxonomy places the organism in Eukaryota, Metazoa, Mollusca, Bivalvia, Mytilida, Mytilidae. The record is from RefSeq and is a predicted model, not a curated record.
AAUAGAUAAAAUAAACAUGGAUAAACGUUUUCCUUUACGAAUGAUUGCUUUACUGGUGACUUUCCACAUAGCCGUUUGUCAAGAUAGAUCUGGAUCGGAUAAUGAAACAGGAAACUCUUCUAACCUAAGUGGUCUUUAGAUAGGUGUUGCAUUAGCUGGCGUCCUUAUGGUUUUCAUGAUUAUUGGUAGUUUUUUUGUGAUUCAAAGAAAAAUGAAAAACAAAAACGAAAUUUUAUUACUGCAAAGGAAACUUACCGAAAUAGAGGGAUAUCGUUUGAACAUUGAGAUAGAAAAGAUUGACCAUUGAAAAGAGAAGACUUGAAAUUGUUGAAGAAAACAAACUUGCAUUCUCUGCGGCUUAAUUGAAUCAAUUUCUAUGAUCUGC